This 372-nucleotide ribosomal RNA is filed under the name uncultured organism. RNAcentral's name for it is "partial 16S ribosomal RNA". It matches the Rfam family "Bacterial small subunit ribosomal RNA", at positions 527 to 896 of the family's 1533-position model. The record is from RNAcentral.
GUAGGUGGCAAGCGUUGUCCGGAAUUAUUGGGCGUAAAGCGCGCGCAGGCGGUUCUUUAAGUCUGAUGUGAAAGCCCAGGGCUCAACCGUGGAGGGUCAUUGGAAACUGGAGAACUUGAGUACAGAAGAGGAAAGCGGAAUUCCACGUGUAGCGGUGAAAUGCGUAGAGAUGUGGAGGAACACCAGUGGCGAAGGCGGCUUUCUGGUCUGUAACUGACGCUGAGGCGCGAAAGCGUGGGGAGCAAACAGGGAUUAGAUACCCUGGUAGUCCACGCCGUAAACGAUGAGUGCUAAGUGUUAGGGGGUUUCCGCCCCCUUAGUGCUGCAGCUAACGCAUUAAGCACUCCGCCUGGGGAUACGGCCGCAAGGCUG